Molecule: transfer RNA, 72 nt
Filed under: Bosmina fatalis
Lineage: Eukaryota; Metazoa; Arthropoda; Branchiopoda; Diplostraca; Bosminidae
Description: tRNA-Ser
Rfam family: tRNA
About the family: Transfer RNA (tRNA) molecules are approximately 80 nucleotides in length.
Source: RNAcentral
AAAUAUUUAACCUAAAGUUCAAGGUAUUCGUUUUGAAAACGAAUCAUAAGAGUUAAAAUCUCUUAAUAUUUU